AGGCCUACGGGGGGCAGCAGUGAGGAAUAUUGGUCAAUGGGCGAGAGCCUGAACCAGCCAAGUCGCGUGAAGGAUGACGGCCCUAUGGGUUGUAAACUUCUUUUGUCAGGGAGCAAUUGGGUCCACGUGUGGGCUUAGCGAGAGUACCUGAAGAAAAAGCAUCGGCUAACUCCGUGCCAGCAGCCGCGGUAAUACGGAGGAUGCGAGCGUUAUCCGGAUUUAUUGGGUUUAAAGGGAGCGUAGGUGGACAGUUAAGUCAGUUGUGAAAGUUUGCGGCUCAACCGUAAAAUUGCAGUUGAUACUGG
This 305-nucleotide ribosomal RNA is filed under the name uncultured bacterium. Its description in RNAcentral is "bacterial SSU rRNA". It matches the Rfam family "Bacterial small subunit ribosomal RNA", at positions 335 to 636 of the family's 1533-position model. The record is from RNAcentral.